GGAUCUAAACUGACCCUGAGGGAGGAGACUCAUCCCCAAUGGCUGUCCAAGCCUGAUACUGCCUAUCUAGCUACCUAACAUUCGCCUCUACAAGAACCAAAGGCUCUGGGAAGCAUUUACACCAACAGAGAGGGAUCAUUCACCAACUUCCGGUGAGGGAUGGAGAGCCAAUCGUUGAUCAGUGGCCAGAAGAUGGAUCUGUUGCAGCCUGCUCCUGGGUCAUAUAAAGACACCUUUGGAGAAAACAGCUUCAUAGAGCCUGACCCCUUCCCUCCUGUAACUGGUGUGGCAGAUGAAAGAGACACUUAUAGCUCUCAAUGUUCAAUGUGGCUAUCAGAAUACUGGAACAACAGGACCUAAGGAUGAUGGAAGUUCCCCAGAAAUCUUGUGCUGGGAAAAGAAAGGGCACCAGCCAGAGGACGAACUUUUUUGGCGAGGGAAUUUCCAAUUUAGAGAUGAGACUAAAACCCAGAAAGUGACGAGACAAUGUUAGGUGUGAUGGCGUCUUACCCAGGUCUGCUCACGUGUGCUCAUGUGUGCACACCCUUGGCAUUUAAGCUAUGAUUGAACUUCAGGGCCCUGACGACAGACUUGAGGGCUUUGCUGGGUCUCUAUCCCCAGCUUCUCAAUGUGGCCACAUUGAAUAAAACUCCUCUUUCUGUUUUNN
RNAcentral lists this long non-coding RNA (667 nucleotides) under Mus caroli (Ryukyu mouse). RNAcentral describes it as "RIKEN cDNA 1700021P04 gene (MGP_CAROLIEiJ_G0005291.1)". Lineage: Eukaryota; Metazoa; Chordata; Mammalia; Rodentia; Muridae. The record is from RNAcentral.